AUGGCGACGGCUCUCGGCCCGGCGGCCACGCUCCUCGGCAAGGUGUUCACGAUGCUGUCCUCCGUCCCGGUGGCGGCGUACGUGGACAGCCUCGAGCUCGGCCACAACUCCCAGCAGAUCAAGGCCAAGCUCGCGCACACGCGAGGCCUGCUGCACAAGGCCAAGGUGAGCGACGUCGGCCACAACCCCGGACUGCAGGACCUGCUACCGGCGCUGAGCAGGAACGCCGACCAGGCGGAGGACCUGCUGGAUGAGCUCCACUACUUCCAGAUCCAUGACAGGCUCCACGGCACCAGCUACGCCACCACCCAGGCCAAUUUUCUCCGUCAUGGUCGCAAUGCUCUCCGCCAAACUGCCACUAGCAGCUGGGCCGCAUGCUUUUCUUGUUCCUCUGCACAAGAUGAUAGUGGCGAUGAUGCUGAUCAUGGUGAUGACUUACGUUUCCACCCAGUGAUCUUCUCUAGGAAAAUCAAGUCGGUGUUACAGGACAUGCAGACCCACUGUGAUUCCGUCUCCGAUUUGCUUGGCAAUAUCCCAAGCAACAGCAUGGCAGCCGCCCUACACCGGCCACAGAUUGGAUCCACAAUUAUACAGGAUACAUUGUAUGGCAGGAGAGACACUUUUGAGGAAACUGUCAACCGUAUCAUCAGCUGCAAACAGACUGUUUCUGUUCUUCCUAUAGUUGGUCCAGGGGGUAUUGGAAAAACAACUUUCACCCAACACCUCUAUAAUGAUGCAAGGCUGUAUGGUGAUACUAGGGGAGCUGGAAAUCACUUUGAAGUCAGGGUCUGGGUAUGUGCGUCGACUGAUUUCGAUGUGCUUAAGCUCACCAGGGAGAUCCUUGGCUGCAUACCAGCAACUGAACAAGAAGGAAGCAACUGUGUUGCAAAUGAAACAAGCAAUUUAGACCAGCUUCAGAAAUCCAUAGCACACCGUCUCAAGUCCAAAAGGUUUCUAAUUGUCUUGGAUGAUAUAUGGAAAUGCGACGGCGAGGAUCAGUGGAAGACCCUGCUAGCUCCGUUCACAAAGGGGGAAACCAAAGGAAGCAUGGUACUUGUCACAACUCGAUUCCCAAAGGUAGCAGACAUGGUGAAAACAGUUGAUCCACUAGAGCUGCGAGGUUUGGAGUCUAAGGACUUCUUCGCGUUCUUUGAAGCAUGUAUAUUUGGUGAUCACAAGCCUGAGGAUUAUGAAUAUCAGUUAGCUGGUAUUGGAGGAAAAAUUGCAAAUAAGCUAAAGGGUUCCCCACUAGCAGCCAAAACAGUUGGCAGACUAUUGCACAAGGACCUUUCUCAGGAACAUUGGAAUGGAGUUCUUAAAAAGCAUGAGUGGCUGAAGCGCCAAAAUAAUGAUGAGAUCAUGCCAUCUUUAAAAAUUAGCUACGAUUACCUCCCUUCUGAUCUGAAGGAAUGCUUUUCAUACUUUGGCCUUUAUCCUGAAGAUCAUCGGUUUGAUAAUUCAGAAAUGAACCGCCUUCUUGUUGCAGUUGGCAUCACAGAAUCUACUCAGGAAGUUGACAGGAAUUACUUGGAGGAACUAGUGGACAACGGUUUUCUCAUGAAGCAAUCUGAUUAUCAUGGUCGAUACUACUAUGUAUUGCAUGAUUUAAUGCAUGAGCUAUGUCGGAGUGUUUCUGCACAAGAAUGCCUCAGUAUAAGUGGCUCACAUUCCAGAGCUGAUGCGAUUCCACAGUCAGUUCGACACUUAUCCAUCACCAUAGAAGAGAGAUAUGGUACAAAUUUUGAGGAAGAAAUGUGUAAACUAAGGGGGAGGAUAGACAUUGCUAGUCUGCGGACCUUGAUGAUUUUUGGAAUAUAUGAAAAAGGAAUCGCCGGAAGAUAUGAAAAAAGAAUCGCCAAGCUUUUGAAAGAUUGCUUCAAGCAAAUAAAUAGUCUGCGUGUCCUAUUCAUAGCAGUGAACUCUCCAGAAUGUUUUCCACAUAGGUUUUCAAAACUUAUCCACCUCCAGUACCUCAAAAUCAGUUCAUCUUACAACUCUGAAAUGUGUUUACCUAGUACACUAUCAAGAUUUUAUCACUUGGAAUUCUUGGACCUAGAUGAUUGGCAUGGUAGUUCUGAUUUGCCUGAAGACUUUAGCCACCUUGAGAAUUUACAUGAUUUCCGUGCUAAAAGUGAACUCCACUCCAAUAUUCGGAAUGUUGGAAAAAUCGAGCAUCUGCGGAGGCUAAAAGAAUUCCGUGUUAAGAAGGAGAGUGUGGGAUUUGAACUGAGAGAACUUGGGGCACUCACAGAGCUUGAAGAAGAACUGAUUAUACAUGGUCUUGAACACGUGGAGACCAAGGAGGAAGCCGCUGCAGCCAAACUGAUGUUGAAAACGAAUCUGAAGGAGUUGAAAUUGCUCUGGGACAGAGAUCGGGUAACUAUGGAUGCUGAUAUUCUUGGUGCUCUUCAACCACACUCUAAUCUUAGAGUGCUAACAAUCACAAAUCCUAGUUGUACCAUUGGUCCUAGUUGGUUGUGUCCUGGUAUGUGGCUAACAAGUUUAGAGACUCUCACUCUAGAAGGCGUAUCUUGGAACACACUUCCACCUUUUGGGAAGCUACCAAAUCUCAAGGUACUCACUUUGAAGAGAAUUUCUGGAAUGCGUCAGUUUGGGCCUCGCUGUGGUGGCGCUCCAGGCAAAUGUUUUAUGCGCUUGAAGGAAGUUGGGUUUCAUGAGAUGUCGGAAUUUGCUGAAUGGGUUGUGGAACCUAAUUGUCGUUCCUUUCCAAGUCUUGAAAGAAUCGAAUGUGUUGAGUGUCCCAAUCUCCAUGUGAUGCCAUUCUCGGAGGUGUUUUGGACCAAUUUGCGCAAACUUCGAGUUUCUGGGUGCCCCAUGAUGUCUCUGCCCUCCAUGCCUCACACCUCCACACUGACUGAUUUGGUUGUUAAAAGAGGUGAUUCAGAAAGUUUGGGUUACCAUGAAAAGAAUUUGGUUGUUAGUGGGUACAGCGGUGCUUUGGUCUUCCACAAUCUGGAUAAAGUAGAACAUAUGACUAUUGAAGAUGUAUCACACAUUUCCUUGACAGAUAUUGAUAAGCUUAAAACCAUAACAACACUAGAUAUCAGGAAAUGUGACGGUUUAUUCCCCGAAGAGGUUGAUGACAGCAUUGUCUUCCAUUCAGUUACAACCCUCACCUUACAUGUAUCUCAUCUUAACAGAAAAUCAGCGUCAAAAGUGUUAAACUAUUUUCCGGCUCUUUCUAUGUUGAAGAUAAAGAGUGGUUGCCCUGAAUAUAAGGAGGAAUGUGUGACGCAGUUCCCCUCAUCCAGCUCACUGCAGAAACUUAGCUUUACAUCCUGCAACAGCCUGGUUCUUGUGCCAGUGGAGAAUGGAGGAAGAAUUCAAGAGGACAACUCGUUGCUUCCCUGUGGAGAAUCGAUGAUGAGUUUAAGAAUAUUGAUUUGUGGCAAACUCUUCUCUCAAUGGCCCAUGGGAGAAGCUCAGAUAAUCUACCCUUUCCCUGCUUCCCUGAGGGAACUUGAUGUUUACAAAGAGCCAAGCAUGAAGUCAAUGGCUCUGCUCUCAAACCUCACGUCCCUCACCAGUCUAAAGCUAGUACAUUGUAGUAAUUUAACAGUGGACGGAUUCAAUCCUCUCAUCACAGUCAACCUCAGGGUUUUGGAUGCUAGCUUCAGCAACACCUUAGCAGCAGAUCUGCUCUCAGAGGUGGCCAGGACCAAAUUAUUGCCUGCAAGUUACAUCUCUAGAUUGGAGGUACUCACGGUGGAUGACAUCUCUGGAUUGCUUGUUGCUCCUAUUUGCAAUCUCCUCGCUCCGGCCCUCCACACACUUAAAUUCGAUACUGAUAUGAGGGCGGAAAGCUUCACGGAGGAGCAGGAGAAAGCGCUGCAGCUCCUGACCUCCCUCCAGAAUCUAACAUUUUAUCAUUGCGAUGGUCUGCAGUCGCUUCCUCAAGGGUUGCAUCGCCUUUCUUCCCUCAAGGAGUUACGUGUGGAUUGGUGUUCAAAAAUCCAAUCGAUGCCCAAGGAGGGCUUCCCAGUUUCGCUGAGAUACUUACGUAUAUGGCCGCGCAGUGCUGAGAUAGACGAGCUAAUCGAGAAAAUCGAAAGAACAAGCUCAGAUUUAGUUGCAACCGAUGAACCACCUAUAAUGCCUCGCGCCGCUGAGAUUCUACAUCACCUUUUCUUAUAG
RNAcentral lists this ribosomal RNA (4155 nucleotides) under Triticum aestivum (bread wheat). RNAcentral describes it as "partial small subunit ribosomal RNA". Lineage: Eukaryota; Viridiplantae; Streptophyta; Magnoliopsida; Poales; Poaceae. The record is from RNAcentral.